UUGUGGAGGAGGACGCCGAAGGUGGGGCUGAUGACUGGGGUGAAGUCGUAACAAGGUAGCCGUACNGNAAGGUGCGGCUGGAUCACCUCCUAACAGGGAGACAACAACUGAUCGUGAUGUCUAAGUGUUUUAUUCUUAGGCCAUGAUCCUGUCACCUUAGGUCGAUCGGUACCUCAAUUUUAUUGUCUAAUAAUUAUUGAAUAAUCAGUAAUUAGCAGUUCAAUUCAGUUCCUAAACUUGUCUAGGUCACACCCCGCAAGGGUAUUCCUGGGCCAUUAGCUCAGGUGGUUAGAGCGCACCCCUGAUAAGGGUGAGGUCCCUGGUUCAAGUCCAGGAUGGCCCAUUCGGUGUUGGGGGUAUAGCUCAGUUGGUAGAGCGCCUGCUUUGCAAGCAGGAUGUCAGCGGUUCGAGUCCGCUUACCUCCACUGAUCAACCCUUGAAGACGAAAUCAGGAGAUUUCCUUUGGUGAUGUGAUUUAGAUAUAUGUCCUCUGAAUGAACCUAGCUUCUUAUCAUUCUUUUUCUAAAUAAACAUUUUAGAUAUAGCUGAUAUGACGCUGGGCUCACUGCAAUCAUUAAUUGAUUGCAGAUAAGUUCAGUAGAACCUUGACAACUGCAUAGAUUAAGUCUGGAAAAAAAAGCAUCUCAUGGAUGCAUUUUUCUUGAUUAAAAUAAGAGAUAUUGUUUUUACGGUAUUACUUAUUUGAUUUCAAGUAAGAAUGUUUAAUUCUUGAGUAAGAGCAGAGAAUCUUUGGUUUUUUUAUUAAAACUGAGGAGGAUUAUGGUCAAGCUACAA
Molecule: unclassified non-coding RNA, 795 nt
Filed under: uncultured Prochlorococcus sp.
Lineage: Bacteria; Bacillati; Cyanobacteriota; Cyanophyceae; Synechococcales; Prochlorococcaceae
Description: partial 16S-23S ribosomal RNA intergenic spacer; may also contain 16S ribosomal RNA and 23S ribosomal RNA
Rfam family: tRNA (bases 353-425)
Source: RNAcentral